This 301-nucleotide ribosomal RNA is filed under the name uncultured bacterium. RNAcentral's name for it is "partial 16S ribosomal RNA". It matches the Rfam family "Bacterial small subunit ribosomal RNA", at positions 509 to 807 of the family's 1533-position model. The record is from RNAcentral.
CAGCAGCCGCGGUAAUACGUAGGGUGCAAGCGUUGUCCGGAAUUAUUGGGCGUAAAGAGCUCGUAGGCGGUUUGUCGCGUCUGCUGUGAAAUCCUGAGGCUCAACCUCGGGCUUGCAGUGGGUACGGGCAGACUAGAGUGCGGUAGGGGAGAUUGGAAUUCCUGGUGUAGCGGUGGAAUGCGCAGAUAUCAGGAGGAACACCGAUGGCGAAGGCAGAUCUCUGGGCCGUAACUGACGCUGAGGAGCGAAAGCAUGGGGAGCGAACAGGAUUAGAUACCCCUGUAGUCCCUGUCUCUUAUAC